UCACAAUGAAACUAUUAAAUCAAUUUGUAUUGGCAAUCGCAGUCUUGGCUCUAUUUGCUGGACACACUGAAGCUAAGGGAGGCGCUAGUGCUGGUAAAGGUGGUGGAAAAGGUGGCAAGGGUCAUUCUGAACAUGUAGCUGUUGGUGUGGUCAAGCAUGUGGGAGCGGCUGCUGCCAAAGAAGGUGUAAGACAAUAUGCUAACAGGCAUUAAAUUAAGAAAAAAAAUAUAAAGAAAUAAAUAAAACUAAGGUUUUUGAGAAUAAUUAAGAA
This is a long non-coding RNA of Calliphora vicina (urban bluebottle blowfly), 271 nucleotides long. RefSeq lists it as uncharacterized. The transcript has 2 exons. The record is from RefSeq and is a predicted model, not a curated record. NCBI's taxonomy places the organism in Eukaryota, Metazoa, Arthropoda, Insecta, Diptera, Calliphoridae.